This is an RNA transcript of Grammomys surdaster, 1593 nucleotides long. It is a transcript of the gene named lymphokine-activated killer T-cell-originated protein kinase pseudogene, with no coding region annotated. The transcript has a single exon. Lineage: Eukaryota; Metazoa; Chordata; Mammalia; Rodentia; Muridae. The record is from RefSeq and is a predicted model, not a curated record.
UUUCACCUUUUUACCCGAGGGUACGAAUGUGGAUCUAACGUGAUUGCUACAAUGGAAGGAAUCAAUAAUUUCAAGACACCAAACAAAUUAUCUGAAAAAAGGAAAUCUGUAUUAUGUUCGACUCCAUGUGUAAAUAUCCCUGCCUCUCCAUUUAUGCAGAAGCUUGGCUUUGGGACUGGGGUCAGCGUUUACCUAAUGAAAAGAUCUCCUAGAGGGUUGUCUCAUUCUCCUUGGGCUGUGAAAAAGAUAAAUCCUUUAUGUGAUGGUCAAUAUCGAACUGUGUAUCAGAAGAGACUAACUGAUGAAGCUAAGAUUUUAAAAAACCUAAAUCACCCAAACAUUAUAGGGUAUCGUGCUUUUACUGAAGCCAGUGAUGGUAAUCUGUGCCUUGCUAUGGAGUAUGGAGGUGAAAAGUCUCUGAAUGACCUGAUAGAAGAGCGGAACAAAGACAGUGGAAGUCCUUUUCCUGCUGCUGUAAUUCUCAGAGUUGCUUUGCACAUGGCGAGAGGGCUAAAGUAUCUGCAUCAAGAAAAGAAGCUACUUCAUGGAGACAUAAAGUCUUCAAAUGUUGUAAUUAAAGGUGAUUUUGAAACAAUUAAAAUCUGUGAUGUAGGAGUCUCUCUGCCACUGGAUGAAAAUAUGACUGUGACUGAUCCUGAGGCCUGUUAUAUUGGCACUGAGCCAUGGAAACCUAAGGAAGCAUUGGAGGAAAAUGGCAUUAUUACUGACAAGGCAGAUAUGUUUGCUUUUGGCCUUACUCUGUGGGAAAUGAUGACUUUGUGUAUUCCACACAUCAAUCUUCCAGAUGAUGAUGAUGAAGAUGCAACCUUUGAUGAGAGUGACUUCGAUGAUGAAGCAUACUAUGCAGCUCUGGGGACAAGGCCAUCCAUCAACAUGGAAGAACUGGAUGAAUCCUACCAGAAGGUCAUUGAACUCUUCUGUGUGUGUACUAAUGAGGAUCCUAAAGAUCGCCCAUCUGCUGCACACAUUGUUGAAGCUUUGGAACUAGAUGGUCAAUGUUGUGGUGGUCUAAGCUUGAAGCAUAGCUUGUAUGGGAACUGUUAAUUAGAUGUGUUUAGUUAAUAUAACUUAUAGUACCUAGACACUAGAAGUAGCUUAUUUUAGGACCAUUGUACAGUUACUCUUUGCAUAACUUUCUGACAUGUUAGUUCUUAUAUAUGCACUUAUUAUACUGGAUAGUCUAUGAAGUUUAAGAAACUCCAGGUAUCUAGAUGCUGCCUCUGAUUUAAACACUAGAGACCCCUGUCUAAGAUGACUUAGAAUCAAGGGACUGUUGCUUUGUUAAAGAUUUAGAUAUUCUUGCUUCUUUAAUGAGUUACUAAAAUUUUCACUAUAUAUGGUACACAGUUAAUCUGUCUGCUCAUAGUGUCCACUCUUUUAUCAGCCCAUGUGCCCUGGAGUUGAGAAGAGCAUGGUUCAGAAGCAUAGCUCCUGGGGUGUUUCAGACCCUAGUUACAGUCUUGCCUCUCUCCACAUCUUAGUGUCUAACUUACUUUGUUUUUACUGACUGUAUCCUAAGUCUUUUAAUGUUAAUGUAAGAAUAAACAAAUAAAAGACAGUGAUAGUACCAGG